UGGCGGACGGUGAGUAACACGUAGAGAACCUACCUUACACAGGGGGAUAACAGUUAGAAAUGACUGCUAAUACCGCAUAAGACCCCGGUACCGCAUGGUACAGAGGUAAAAACUGAGGUGGUGUAAGAUGGACCCGCGUCUGAUUAGGUAGUUGGUGAGGUAACGGCUCACCAAGCCGACGAUCAGUAGCCGGCCUGAGAGGGUGGACGGCCACAUUGGGACUGAGACACGGCCCAGACUCCUACGGGAGGCAGCAG
RNAcentral lists this ribosomal RNA (257 nucleotides) under uncultured bacterium. RNAcentral's name for it is "partial 16S ribosomal RNA". It matches the Rfam family "Bacterial small subunit ribosomal RNA", at positions 96 to 354 of the family's 1533-position model. The record is from RNAcentral.